UAAUAGAUACCCUGGUAGUCCUCGCCCUAAACCAUGACCACUAGGCGUGGGAGGUAUCGACCCCUUCCGUGCCGUAGGUAACCUGUUAAGUGGUCCGCCUGGGGAGUACGGUCGCAAGACUCAAACUCAAAGGAAUUGACGGGGACCCGCACAAGCAGCGGAGCGUGUGGUUUAAUUCGAUGCAACGCGAAGAACCUUACCAGGAUUUGACAUGCCACUGCACCGCCGAGAGAUCGGCGUACCCGCAAGGGACGGUGGCACAGGUGCUGCAUGGCUGUCGUCAGCUCGUGCCGUGAGGUGUCUGGUUAAGUCCCUCUAACGAGCGCAACCCCUACCGUUAGUGUGCAUCUGUCUAGCGGGACUGCCGCGCUAACGCGGAGGAAGGUGGGGAUGACGUCAAGUCAGCACGGCCCUUACAUCCUGGGGCGACACACACGCUACAAUGGUUGGGACAAAGGGAGGCCAACCCGGCAAAGGGGGGAGCCGAAAUCUCACAAACCCCGAGCCUCGAGUUCCGGAUUGCAGGCUGCAACCCGCCUGC
RNAcentral lists this ribosomal RNA (541 nucleotides) under uncultured bacterium. RNAcentral's name for it is "bacterial SSU rRNA". It matches the Rfam family "Bacterial small subunit ribosomal RNA", at positions 776 to 1319 of the family's 1533-position model. The record is from RNAcentral.